UACGAAGGGGGCUAGCGUUGUUCGGAAUCACUGGGCGUAAAGGGUGCGCAGGCGGGGUCUCAAGUCAGAGGUGAAAGCCCGAGGCUCAACCUCGGAACUGCCUUUGAUACUGUGGAUCUUGAAUCUGGAAGAGGUGAGUGGAACUGCGAGUGUAGAGGUGAAAUUCGUAGAUAUUCGCAAGAACACCGGUGGCGAAGGCGGCUCACUGGUCCGGAACUGACGCUGAGGCACGAAAGCGUGGGGAGCAAACAGG
This 253-nucleotide ribosomal RNA is filed under the name uncultured bacterium. RNAcentral's name for it is "partial 16S ribosomal RNA". It matches the Rfam family "Bacterial small subunit ribosomal RNA", at positions 524 to 776 of the family's 1533-position model. The record is from RNAcentral.